AAAGCUUGCUUUUCUGAAUCUAGUGGCGAACGGGUGAGUAACACGUAGGUAACCUGCCCAUGUGCCCGGGAUAACUUCUGGAAACGGAUGCUAAAACCGGAUAGGUAGCAGACAAGCAUUUGACUGCUAUUAAAGUGGCUUUGGCCAUGAACAUGGAUGGACCUGCGGUGCAUUAGCUGGUUGGUGAGGUAACGGCCCACCAAGCCGACGAUGGGUAGCCGGCCUGAGAGGGCGGACGGCCACAUUGGGACUGAGACACGGUCCAUACUCC
RNAcentral lists this ribosomal RNA (271 nucleotides) under uncultured bacterium. RNAcentral's name for it is "partial 16S ribosomal RNA". It matches the Rfam family "Bacterial small subunit ribosomal RNA", at positions 75 to 339 of the family's 1533-position model. The record is from RNAcentral.